UACGUAGGGUGCAAGCGUUAAUCGGAAUUACUGGGCGUAAAGCGUGCGCAGGCGGCUUUGCAAGACAGAUGUGAAAUCCCCGGGCUUAACCUGGGAAUGGCGUCUGAAACUACGGAGCUGGAGUGUGGCAGAGGGAGGUAGAAUUCCACGUGUAGCGGUGAAAUGCGUAGAUAUGUGGAGGAAUACCGAUGGCGAAGGCAGCCUCCUGGGCCAACACUGACGCUCAUGCACGAAAGCGUGGGGAGCAAACAGG
This 253-nucleotide ribosomal RNA is filed under the name uncultured bacterium. RNAcentral's name for it is "partial 16S ribosomal RNA". It matches the Rfam family "Bacterial small subunit ribosomal RNA", at positions 524 to 776 of the family's 1533-position model. The record is from RNAcentral.